CGCCAUAAUCCAUUGUAUUUUUGUAUAGUCAUUUGCGCAUCAGUCUGUUUUAUGCACAAACAUUUUCGAAUUAUAAACUCUAAAUUAGUUUCAAUUCUUGUCACCAUUGGAACCAUUUCACAGUUCCCGCAUUUAAUAUUUACCAAGCCUUUGUACCAAGCAUCAAUAAGACGCAAAUAUGGACGGACCAGUAGGUAGCAAUGUGAUUUUACUGCCUUCUGCAGAGGCCCUGCGUAAGUCUAUCGAAUUAAGUACACAAACUCCCGAAGCAAUCGUUGAUGACUACCUCAGUUUACCAACUCUACCGUAUGGAACAACAAUUACAAUUGACAAAAUUGGAUGUCUAAACUACAAUCCAUUGACUAAGGAACACACGGGAAUACUUCCAUACAAGCAUUUUCGAUCAAAAUGUCCAGCGGAAUUCCCCGAGUGUAAAGAUCCAGAUUUGGACUACACUGACGAUGAACAGGUGUCACCAGUUAUUAUUACAUCGGGAAAUGUAAAGUACCGUG
Bradysia coprophila is the source of this 512-nucleotide long non-coding RNA. Lineage: Eukaryota; Metazoa; Arthropoda; Insecta; Diptera; Sciaridae. The record is from RefSeq and is a predicted model, not a curated record.